GUCUAUGGCCAUGCCACCCUGAACCCAAUCCCGUCUGAUCUCGGAAGCUAAGCAAGGUCAGGCCUGGUUAGUACUUGGAUGGGAGACCAUCUAGGAAGACCAGGUGUUGUAGGCG
Molecule: ribosomal RNA, 115 nt
Filed under: Pteropus alecto (black flying fox)
Lineage: Eukaryota; Metazoa; Chordata; Mammalia; Chiroptera; Pteropodidae
Also listed under: 1 other name
Source: RNAcentral